RNAcentral lists this ribosomal RNA (878 nucleotides) under marine metagenome. Its description in RNAcentral is "bacterial SSU rRNA". It matches the Rfam family "Bacterial small subunit ribosomal RNA", at positions 159 to 1069 of the family's 1533-position model. The record is from RNAcentral.
UGUGCUAAUACUGGAUAAGUCUUUACGGAGAAAGCUUUAUGCACCAUUGGAUGAGCCUGCACUUGAUUAGUUUGUUGGUGGGGUAAUGGCCUACCAAGACUUUGAUCAAUAGCUGAUUUGAGAGGAUGAUCAGCCACAUUGGGACUGAGACACGGCCCAAACUCCUACGGGAGGCAGCAGUGGGGAAUCUUGCACAAUGGAGGAAACUCUGAUGCAGCGAUGCCGCGUGAGUGAAGAAGGCCUUUGGGUUGUAAAGCUCUUUCGUCGGGGAAGAAAAUGACUGUACCCGAAUAAGAAGGUCCGGCUAACUUCGUGCCAGCAGCCGCGGUAAUACGAAGGGACCUAGCGUAGUUCGGAAUUACUGGGCUUAAAGAGUUCGUAGGUGGUUGAAAAAGUUGGUGGUGAAAUCCCAGAGCUUAACUCUGGAACUGCCAUCAAAACUUUUCAGCUAGAGUAUGGUAGAGGAAAGCAGAAUUUCUAGUGUAGAGGUGAAAUUCGUAGAUAUUAGAAAGAAUACCAAUUGCGAAGGCAGCUUUCUGGAUCAUUACUGACACUGAGGAACGAAAGCAUGGGUAGCGAAGAGGAUUAGAUACCCUCGUAGUCCAUGCCGUAAACGAUGUGUGUUAGACGUUGGAAAUUUAUUUUCAGUGUCGCAGCGAAAGCGAUAAACACACCGCCUGGGGAGUACGACCGCAAGGUUAAAACUCAAAUGAAUUGACGGGGACCCGCACAAGUAGUGGAGCAUGUGGUUUAAUUCGAAGAUACGCGCAGAACCUUACCAACACUUGACAUGUUCGUCGCGACUUUAAGAGAUUAAAGUUUUCGGUUCGGCCGGACGAAACACAGGUGCUGCAUGGCUGUCGUCAGCUCGUGUCGUG